GGCCUACCAUGGUGGUAACGGGUAACGGGGUGUUAGGGCACGACACCGGAGAGGGAGCCUGAGAAACGGCUACCACAUCCAAGGAUGGCAGCAGGCGCGCAAAUUACCCAAUCCCGACACGGGGAGGUAGUGACAAUAAAUAACAAUACGGGGUUCUUUAGGAUCUCGUAAUUGGAAUGAGUACAAUUUAAAUCUCUUAACGAGGAACAAUUGGAGGGCAAGUCUGGUGCCAGCAGCCGCGGUAAUUCCAGCUCCAAUAGCGUAUAUUAAAGUUGUUGCAGUUAAAAAGCUCGUAGUUGAAUUUCGGGGUCAGCAGGUUGGUCGUGCCACUGGCAUGUACUGGCUUCGCUGAUUCCUCCUUUCUGAAGAACUGUAAUGUCAUUAAUUUGGUGUUGCAGGGAAACAGGACUGUUACUUUGAAAAAAUUAGAGUGUUUAAAGCAGGCUAACGCUUGAAUACAUUAGCAUGGAAUAAUGAAAUAGGACGUUCGAUCCUAUUUUGUUGGUUUCUAGGAUUGACGUAAUGAUUAAUAGGGAUAGUUGGGGGCAUUAGUAUUCAAUUGUCAGAGGUGAAAUUCUUGGAUUUAUUGAAGACUAACUACUGCGAAAGCAUUUGCCAAGGAUGUUUUCAUUAAUCAAGAACGAAAGUUAGGGGAUCGAAGACGAUCAGAUACCGUCGUAGUCUUAACCAUAAACUAUGCCGACUAGGGAUCGGAUGAUGUUAAUUUUUUAAUGACUCAUUCGGCGCCUUACG
Molecule: ribosomal RNA, 753 nt
Filed under: uncultured Glomeraceae
Lineage: Eukaryota; Fungi; Glomeromycota; Glomeromycetes; Glomerales; Glomeraceae
Description: SSU rRNA
Rfam family: Eukaryotic small subunit ribosomal RNA
Source: RNAcentral